RNAcentral lists this ribosomal RNA (492 nucleotides) under uncultured bacterium. RNAcentral's name for it is "partial 16S ribosomal RNA". It matches the Rfam family "Bacterial small subunit ribosomal RNA", at positions 29 to 507 of the family's 1533-position model. The record is from RNAcentral.
AGUGAACGCUGGCGGUAGGCCUAACACAUGCAAGUCGAACGGCAGCACAGUAAGAGCUUGCUCUUACGGGUGGCGAGUGGCGGACGGGUGAGGAAUACAUCGGAAUCUACUUUUUCGUGGGGGAUAACGUAGGGAAACUUACGCUAAUACCGCAUACGACCUACGGGUGAAAGCAGGGGAUCUUCGGACCUUGCGCGAUUGAAUGAGCCGAUGUCGGAUUAGCUAGUUGGCGGGGUAAAGGCCCACCAAGGCGACGAUCCGUAGCUGGUCUGAGAGGAUGAUCAGCCACACUGGAGGUGAGACACGGUCCAGAGUCCUACGGGAGGGAGCAGUGGGGAAUAUUGGACAAUGGGCGCAAACCUGAUCCAACCAUACCGCGUGGGUGAAGAAGGCGUUCGGGUUGUAAAGCCCUUUUGUUGGGAAAGAAAAGCAGCAGGUUAAUACCCCGCUGUUCUGACGGUACCCAAAAAAUAAGCACCGGCUAACUUCGUG